RNAcentral lists this non-coding RNA (198 nucleotides) under Limihaloglobus sulfuriphilus. RNAcentral also lists the same sequence under 1 other name. Lineage: Bacteria; Pseudomonadati; Planctomycetota; Phycisphaerae; Sedimentisphaerales; Sedimentisphaeraceae. The record is from RNAcentral.
AAUUUAAAAAUAUGCCCGUGUCCGUAUUCCGGUUAAAAGGGAAUGCAGUGAAAAUCUGCAACGGUCGCGCCGCUGUAUGCGUCUGGAUAACAAGAAUAAUCCAGAAACAGGCAAUAUGCCACUGUGACAGCUAAUGUCGCGGGAAGGCGCCUGUUUGCAAACGCAAGUCAGAAGACCUGCACUGGUAUAGAUCUUUAG